Molecule: transfer RNA, 71 nt
Filed under: Microcaldota archaeon
Lineage: Archaea; Nanobdellati; Microcaldota
Description: tRNA-Trp
Rfam family: tRNA
About the family: Transfer RNA (tRNA) molecules are approximately 80 nucleotides in length.
Source: RNAcentral
GGGGUUAUAGGGUAGUGGCAUCCUAACUGGCUCCAGACCAGUUGACCUGGGUUCGAAUCCCAGUAACCCCA